UUCUAGGGAUGGGGCAUCCUGAGAGCCAAACUGCCAUUAUUGUUAUUUCUGUUCUGGAUUUAGCCACUCAGCGGAGCUACUGGGCUCCAGGCCGGUACUGGGGAAUAUCUGCAAAGAGUCCUGUGAUGUUAUCCGUCUUCAGGUCUUUCAGCCAUGGAUACAAGCACCUGCUCUGGUGGAGGUAGCAGGGAACUGAAGUAGACUCUGUGAGGGGUCCGUGGUUGUAUUUUUAAGUGCACUGAUUUUGUGUUGGCUGGCCUCCAGCCAAAAGGUAGCACUUUCAAAAGUGCAUCAGCUGCAGUAGUAUAGGGAGGAUACAAGCUUGCCCAAGUAUCAGGUGGUGGGCAGGGCUAUAGAGCUCCCAAGAGAUUAUGUCCUUUGUCUCCAGCUACCAGGGUGGGUGGAGAAAGAUCAUCACGUUGAGGCGGGGUUAGGCUGUCUGAGUUCAGACUCUCCUUGGGUGGAGCUUGCUGCAGCUGCUGUGGGGGAUGGAGUUGUGGUUUCCCAGGCCAGUGGAGUUAUGGUCCCAGAGGGAUUAUGGCUGCCACUGCUGCAUCACACAGGUUGCCAGGAAAGUGGGGGAAACCCGGCAACCACAGGCCUCACCCGUCUCCCAUGCAGCCCAAAAGUCCAGUCUCACUCCCACCAUGUCCCCGCAAACAGCACUGAAUUUAUUUCCAGGCAACCAGUGAGCAAGGCUGAGAACUUGUCCCAGGUUACGAGACUCCCAGGUACAGUCAUGUGCCGCAUAAUGACAUUCAGUCAAUGACAGACUGCAUAUAUGAGGUGGUCCUGUAAGGUGAUAAUGGAGCUGAAAAAUUCCUACUACUGAACGACAUCAUAGCCAUUGUAACAUCAUAGCACAACCAAUCACCUUUUCUAUAUUUAGGAGCAAAGGCAAUACAAUGGAGAAGACAGUCUUUUAACAAAGGUGCUGGAAUAACUGGACAGCCAUGCACACACACAGAAAAGAAUCGAGACACAGACUUUACAUCUUCACAAAGGUACAACACUGAAGGCACCGCCCAUGAAAGAAACAACUGAUAGGCUGAACUCCAUUAAAAUUAAAAGCUUUUGCUCUGCAAAUACAAGAGAAUGAGAACACAAACCGUGAUGCUGAAGUUACAAGUCUGAACCACACGUAGACUAUCAUAGCAAGAUGGCUACAGAAGUUCUGGAAAUAUACCAGACGUGGCAAUGCUGCAGAGGAAGGAGGGAGAAUAUGCCUUUCUGCAGAUCUUUCUUGGAGGAGAGAUAAGGAGUUCAUAUGCUGGAAUGAUAGUGACACAGGAGUUUAACACUCCUACAGUAUCCAGAGCCUGGAUCCCUGAGUCAUCAGAUGGAGAAGAACUACUCAGGAGAGUCAUCCAACCUUCAUAGACAGUGGCAUGAGUGGG
RNAcentral lists this long non-coding RNA (1397 nucleotides) under Homo sapiens (human). RNAcentral describes it as "HSALNT0327113". Lineage: Eukaryota; Metazoa; Chordata; Mammalia; Primates; Hominidae. The record is from RNAcentral.